This 450-nucleotide ribosomal RNA is filed under the name uncultured bacterium. RNAcentral's name for it is "partial 16S ribosomal RNA". It matches the Rfam family "Bacterial small subunit ribosomal RNA", at positions 338 to 795 of the family's 1533-position model. The record is from RNAcentral.
CCUACGGGUGGCUGCAGUAAGGAAUAUUGGUCAAUGGAGGAAACUCUGAACCAGCCAUCCCGCGUGAAGGAUGAAGGGGCUCUGCCUUGUAAACUUCUUUUGUCUGGGGCGAAAAAGCUCGAUUUAUCGAGAACUGACGGUACCAGAAGAAUAAGCACCGGCUAACUCCGUGCCAGCAGCCGCGGUAAUCCGGAGGGUGCAAGAAUUACCCGGAUUAACGGGUUUGAAGGCGGCUUAGUAAGGCAGUGGAGAAAGGCUGUGGCUUAACCAUGGAAUUGCCAUUGAUACUGCAGAGCUUGAAUGAGGUUGAGGUUGGCGGAAUGUGACAUGUAGCGGUGAAAUGCUUAGAUAUGUCAUGGAACACCGAUUGCGAAGGCAGCUGACUGGACCUAUAUUGACGCUGAGGCACGAAAGCGUGGGGAGCGAACAGGAUUAGAUACCCUGGUAGUC